GAGGGUAUAGCUCAGUGAUAGAGCGCAUGCUUAGCAUGCACGAGGUUCUGGUUUCAAUCCCCAUUACUUCA
RNAcentral lists this transfer RNA (71 nucleotides) under Camelus bactrianus (Bactrian camel). It matches the Rfam family "tRNA". From Rfam's summary of the family: Transfer RNA (tRNA) molecules are approximately 80 nucleotides in length. The record is from Rfam by way of RNAcentral. RNAcentral also lists the same sequence under 2 other names. Lineage: Eukaryota; Metazoa; Chordata; Mammalia; Artiodactyla; Camelidae.